GACGAACGCUGGCGGCGUGCUUAACACAUGCAAGUCGAACGAAGAGCGAUGGAAGCUUGCUUCUAUCAAUCUUAGUGGCGAACGGGUGAGUAACGCGUAAUCAACCUGCCCUUCAGAGGGGGACAACAGUUGGAAACGACUGCUAAUACCGCAUACGAUCUAAUCUCGGCAUCGAGGAUAGAUGAAAGGUGGCCUCUACAUGUAAGCUAUCACUGAAGGAGGGGAUUGCGUCUGAUUAGCUAGUUGGAGGGGUAACGGCCCACCAAGGCGAUGAUCAGUAGCCGGUCUGAGAGGAUGAACGGCCACAUUGGGACUGAGACACGGCCCAGACUCCUACGGGAGGCAGCAGUGGGGAAUCUUCCGCAAUGGACGAAAGUCUGACGGAGCAACGCCGCGUGAGUGAUGACGGUCGUCGGGUUGUAAAGCUCUGUUAAUCGGGACGAAAGGCCUUCUUGCGAAUAGUGAGAAGGAUUGACGGUACCGGAAUAGAAAGCCACGGCUAACUACGUG
This 510-nucleotide ribosomal RNA is filed under the name uncultured bacterium. RNAcentral describes it as "partial 16S ribosomal RNA". It matches the Rfam family "Bacterial small subunit ribosomal RNA", at positions 28 to 507 of the family's 1533-position model. The record is from RNAcentral.